Molecule: RNA transcript, 1292 nt
Organism: Schistocerca nitens (vagrant locust)
Lineage: Eukaryota; Metazoa; Arthropoda; Insecta; Orthoptera; Acrididae
Gene name: alpha/beta-tubulin-N-acetyltransferase 9
Exons: 8
Source: RefSeq, a predicted model, not a curated record
ACGAAUUGUAUCCAACCAUCAAAUUGUCCAAACAGAAACCAAAGACUUAGUAUCCAAAUAUGUUAUUGUGUUGUGCCACGGAAUUAUCCGCUUACGAAUAAUGAAGAUAAAUGCUAAUACAAAAAUUAUUGGGAAGAAUGUUAUUUUAGUGCCAUACAGGGCAGAACAUGUACCAAAAUAUCAUGAAUGGAUGCAAUCUGAAGAGCUUCAGCACCUCACUGCCUCUGAACCAUUAACACUCGAAGAAGAAUAUUCAAUGCAACAAAGCUGGCUUCAUGAUGCCAACAAAUGCACAUUCAUCAUCAUUGAAAAAAAAGAAUUCAAAAGAAGUGACAAUGAAAUUGGUUCCAUGGUAGGAGAUACAAAUCUGUUUCUUCAAGAACCUGAAGACAGUCAGUCAGCAGAAAUUGAAAUAAUGAUUGCUGAAGAAAAAGCCAGAGGCAAGAAAUAUGGCUGGGAAGCAACUUUAUUGAUGCUGUGUUAUGGGUGUGAAGUCCUUGGAAUUAAAAAGUUCCAUGCCAAAAUUGGUCUGGACAAUGUUAAAAGCAUAUCAAUGUUCUCCAAGAUGGGAUUUAAUAAAGUUAGUGAAAGUAACAUCUUUCAAGAAGUUACCAUGGAAAGGAUAGUUGACAAUGGCUGGAAGACCUGGCUCCUGGAACAAACACAAGGCUCAGAACAAGUGAAAGAUUAGUAUCUAUCUUUGUCCCAAGAGUUGCAUGUGGAUAGUGACUGAAAACAUGUUAAAACUGCAGUGUUGUCUCAAAAUUGUUGAUUUACAAUAUUUGUUGCUUUUACAAUUAAGAAAUGGGAAGUACAGGUUCACAGGCAUAAACCCACAGACUUCAACAUAUGUUGUUAACCAUGUCAAAUCCAAUAAAGGCAUCAACAGUAAUGAAGUACAAAGUUGCUCUGGGUGCAUUUACUUGAAUUCAAAACAGCAACAAUAUUGUGGGAUUCACAGCAAUGUAUCAAAUUUAUUCAUCCAGUCACAUUGCAGGGUGGAUAAUCCUGACCGAAAGCCUCCCAUCAGGCCACAAAGAAAGCUGGUCAAUAUGGAAGACCUCAACAGGCUGCGUUCUGGAGUUGGAAGAAGGAAGAAACUUGAAAAAGUGGGGAUUUGCAUGCGAUUCCACAGCAUGUGAAUGUGUUGAAGACCAGACAAUGAGUCAUCUUCUUGUCUGAAGCGUAUAUCCAAUGUCAUACACAUCACAGAAUGUCACUGAUGCCACCAAGGAAGCAUGCGAAGUUGCUGCAUACUGGUCAAGCCACAUUUAAUUUUAACUGUAAUACUU